RNAcentral lists this ribosomal RNA (305 nucleotides) under uncultured bacterium. RNAcentral's name for it is "bacterial SSU rRNA". It matches the Rfam family "Bacterial small subunit ribosomal RNA", at positions 334 to 655 of the family's 1533-position model. The record is from RNAcentral.
UAAACCUACGGGGGGCAGCAGUGGGGAAUAUUGCACAAUGGGGGAAACCCUGAUGCAGCGACGCCGCGUGAGUGAAGAAGUAUUUCGGUACGUAAAGCUCUAUCAGCAGGGAAGGAUAAUGACGGUACCUGACUAAGAAGCCCCGGCUAACUACGUGCCAGCAGCCGCGGUAAUACGUAGGGGGCAAGCGUUAUCCGGAUUUACUGGGUGUAAAGGGAGCGCAGGCGGCGCGUUAAGCCUGGUGUGAAAGCCCGCGGCCCAACCGCGGGACUGCAUUGGGAACUGGCGCGCUGGAGUGCCGGAGG